AUUCACUGAUCACAGUUUAGAAGUUCUUAUCCUAGCACUGGUUCUGUGGCCAUUUCCACUCAUGAGUCUCUGCUCAGAGACAGAGUCUUGCUCUGUUGCCCAGACUGGAGAACAGUGGUGAUUAUAGCUACUGCAACCUCAAACUCCUGGACUCAAGCAAUCCUCCCACUUCAGCCUCCCAAGUAGCUGGGACUACAGGCACACACCUGGCUAACUUUUUAUUUUGUGUAGAGACAGGAUCUCCCUUUGUUGCCUAGGCUGGUCUCAAACUCCUGGCUUUAAGCAAUCCUCCUGCCUUGGCCCCCCAAAUUGCUGGAAUUACAGGCAUGAGCCACCACACCCAGCCCUUGUUUUGUCUUGAUUCAUUAUGGUCACAGAGUGGUUUUAUCUGGUUGUUGGUAUUCUGAAUUUAUUUUUAUUUAACAGGAAAACACAAUGAUCCAGCUGUUAGUGCCAAUCCAGAUCCUGAAUGGCAGAGGCUGCUCUUCACUUUGUCUAUAAGUAGCGGGAGUGGAACUGACUUCUUUCACUACUGCAGUCCUGACUAUGCCCAUAUCAGAUCCCUUAUCAGAUUUGUGCUUUAUAUAAUAGCAAUCAGCUUGAUAGGUCUUUGUUCAGUGUUUGGACCAUAUAGUGGAGCUUUGGUAACACUAGAACUGGAGACUUGUGAUUAAAUCUCAUUACCAUUAAUGUUAAGUAUAGCCUUGUGUGGGAAUGUUACAGAGAAAAGGACUUAGAGACUUACCGAAUCGAAACUUUAUGUCUUGGGAACUCUAAGGAUAAAAGUAAUUUUAAAAAAAGAAAUGGAACAAUUUUUUCUAUCUUGGAUAAAAUAACAAUUGAAUAUUGUAUUGGUCAGGGUUCUCCAGAGAAAUAGAAUAUAUAUAAAGAGAUUAAUUGAAAGGAAUUCACUCACAUGAUUAUGGAGGCUGGCAAGUUUAAUAUAUGCUGAACCAAUGUCCUAGUUGGAGUCCAAAGGCCAGAAAGCUUCUGCAGAACCAAGGAGAUCCAAUUAUCCAGUUUGAAGGCCAUCAGGCAGGAAGAGCUAAUGUUCAGUUCCAAGGACAUCUAGCAGAACUCUUUCCUGGCUGGAGGAGGGUCAUCAUUUUGUCCUAUUCAGACUUCCAACUGAUUUGAUAAAGCCUACCCACAUUAUGGAGGGCAAUCUGCUUUACUCGGUCUUCAAAUUUAAAUGUUAAUUUCUUUCCAAAACAUCCUCACAGAAACACCUAGUGGCCAAAUACUUGGGCAUCCAUUGUCUAGUCAAGUUGACACAUAAAAGUAAUCAUUAAAGAUAUUGGGCUUUUUUUUUUUUUUUUUUUUUUUUUUUUUCAGAAUUGAGUUGAGCUUGACUCAACAGUCAUCUCCUAGGAUAAAUUGUACCUGUAUUGAUAAUUGUUCUAAGGUGCUCCAAUAAUAUGGGGAUCUGUUGGGGCUGGGGGAUGAUGGUCUGAUCUCAGUCUGGUUGGCUACUGGUACAGCAGAAGAAUAACAUGUUGAAUUUCCAAUAAAAAGAAGCAGCAAGCCCAAUUCAAUAAAAACUUCAAAGAAUAUCUAAUAAAUAGCCUUUGCGAAACCAAGAAAAGAAAGUAGAGGGCAGUAAAAGUAAGGCAUAUGACAGAACUAGAUUUGUUGGUUUAUUUGCUCUUUCAACACGGAUUUUUAAAUAUGGAAACACAGACAAGUCAUGCUUGCUUUUUUAAACCAACAAAUUAAAAUUGCGAACAUGGCUAAUUUCAAAUCAGAUUAAAUAAAAAAUUUCUGCAUGGAAAGCA
Molecule: long non-coding RNA, 1775 nt
Organism: Homo sapiens (human)
Lineage: Eukaryota; Metazoa; Chordata; Mammalia; Primates; Hominidae
Exons: 2
Source: RefSeq, a predicted model, not a curated record